GAAGAGACAAGAGAAAGAAAGAGAAAUAGAGAGAGAGAGAGAGAGAGAGAGAGAGAGAGAACUAAAAUCCUCUGGCUCCAAAUUGGCUAUUUCUAAUACUAUUAAGUUUACAAUUCAAAACUCAAAUUCUCAGGGGUCCCAACUUCAUUAAUCUUAGGCAAACAUUAACGAGGACUUCUGAGUAAGGGAAUGAAGGAACUGUCCUGAAAACAAGUGUGACAGCUGAUGUUAGCUGGAUUCCAGAAUUUGUAAGAAAGUGACCAAGGUAUUCUUGGACCAUCCUGAGAACAGUGGAAAAGACCAUCUGGGAGAAGGAAGAAGGAGGAAAAGAAAUGGAAAGGCCUACUCUUUGGGAGCAGCUGGACAGGGCUGGGUCAUCUUUGUUUUCUGGGCACUGAUGUGACUUCUUGGCUCUGCUGUCCUGAGAAUCCACAGCUUCUUCCAGCCUUGAUCAUUAUCCUUCAAGAAGGAAUGAUCCAGAUUGAUUUUUUCCAGUAGGAUAUGUUGAUCUCUUCCUGAGAUGAAAUGGAAAUUAAUCCCUUCCCCCAGGUUCUGUCUUGUAGCUAGUGCAAAGGAAUUAUACAGUUUUACUUUGGUUUUACAAAUUAGCAGGAGAUAAAAAUCCGAAGCCAGAGCCUCCUUUCAGAAACAGGGACAAUCUCCGGACUAGCAAGAAAAAAGAUACAUUUUCUUCAUGUAUUCUGGAAGCUCUAAGAAGAAUUACCAUCUUGGGUCUAAGAUCAAAGUUCCUCAUCUGAAUUCACAUCUUUUUGAAUGAGGUCCUAAGACCUCAGAUUUGGCAAAUUCAAAUAACUCUAGCCUUGGGAAGUAUGGGAAGGGUUUUGAGUUUAGGAGAAGUGGGAUCAAAGCAGCAUUUGGAAAGAGACACUUCAGUGUACAAUGGGGAAAAGAAGGGAAUCAAGGACAAAUCUUUUUAAUGAUUUUUUUUUUUCAAGGAGCUUUUCAAAGAGAUGAAUCUUAUUUUCUUCCAAUGCUCAGAGCCUAAGAUUAGGCCUUGAAGUUUUCUCAAACCAGUACCAGAGCAAGACCUGGUCAGAAUUGAGAAAUCAACCUGA
RNAcentral lists this long non-coding RNA (1076 nucleotides) under Sarcophilus harrisii (Tasmanian devil). RNAcentral describes it as "lncRNA (ENSSHAG00000022428.1)". The record is from RNAcentral. Lineage: Eukaryota; Metazoa; Chordata; Mammalia; Dasyuromorphia; Dasyuridae.